Molecule: unclassified non-coding RNA, 324 nt
Filed under: uncultured fungus
Lineage: Eukaryota; Fungi
Description: partial contains 5.8S ribosomal RNA, internal transcribed spacer 2, and large subunit ribosomal RNA
Source: RNAcentral
AACGCACAUUGCGCCUCUCGGUAUUCCGGGAGGCACGCCUGUUCGAGCGCCAUUACACACUCCAAGCUGCGGCUUGAUGUUGGGCGACGUGCUUGGGGGAACCCGAGGACGCGCCUGGAACGCGUGGGCGGCGGACGCCAGACCGCGAGCGUAGCAAGAUUUUUUUUUUCAGAAAGUCACCCGCUCGGAUGGAUGUGGUGGACGACCAGUCUCUUCGGUAGGCUCUGAUGUUGGAGCGUGUUGUGAAGUCAGCGCGCGACACGUCUGGGGCACGACGUUGUCGAGUUUGGCCUCGGAUCAGGCGGGGAUACCCGCUGAACUUAA